CCUACGGGAGGCAGCAGUGAGGAAUAUUGGUCAAUGGACGAGAGUCUGAACCAGCCAAGUAGCGUGAAGGAUGACUGCCCUAUGGGUUGUAAACUUCUUUUAUAUGGGAAUAAAAUGUUCCACGUGUGGGAUUUUGUAUGUACCAUAUGAAUAAGGAUCGGCUAACUCCGUGCCAGCAGCCGCGGUAAUACGGAGGAUCCGAGCGUUAUCCGGAUUUAUUGGGUUUAAAGGGAGCGCAGGUGGAUUGUUAAGUCAGUUGUGAAAGUUUGCGGCUCAACCGUAAAAUUGCAGUUGAAACUGGCAGUCUUGAGUACAGUAGAGGUGGGCGGAAUUCGUGGUGUAGCGGUGAAAUGCUUAGAUAUCACGAAGAACUCCGAUUGCGAAGGCAGUUCACUGGACUGCAACUGACACUGAGGCUCGAAAGUGUGGGUAUCAAACAGGAUGAGAUACCCGGGUAGUC
This 460-nucleotide ribosomal RNA is filed under the name uncultured bacterium. Its description in RNAcentral is "partial 16S ribosomal RNA". It matches the Rfam family "Bacterial small subunit ribosomal RNA", at positions 338 to 795 of the family's 1533-position model. The record is from RNAcentral.